Molecule: long non-coding RNA, 280 nt
Filed under: Phaseolus vulgaris (common bean)
Lineage: Eukaryota; Viridiplantae; Streptophyta; Magnoliopsida; Fabales; Fabaceae
Description: long non-coding RNA (PVUL_LNC000692)
Source: RNAcentral
UCGGUCAUUAGCAGGUUGCACGAGAGCUUUUCAGCCUCAGCCCUUGUAAUCAGAUUUGACUCCUUGAGCGCUGAGUUCUCCCUUGGAGCUUCUUAAGGGAGUCCUUCACGGCUUUCAAUAUAAUCAAGGGGAGAUCCUCCGCCAUCAUCUUCAGUUUAGCUGUGAAGGGCCCCAAGAUCUCUUCGAGGGAGGUUGGGAGGCUUGAGGUUGUUGCUGGUGGAGGUGCUGGAGGAGUUUGGUGCUGACUUUCACCACCACCCUCUUGAGUUUGAAGGGCAAG